Molecule: non-coding RNA, 135 nt
Organism: Triticum aestivum (bread wheat)
Lineage: Eukaryota; Viridiplantae; Streptophyta; Magnoliopsida; Poales; Poaceae
Source: Rfam
AAAGUACUCCCUCCGUCCCAAAAUUCUUGUCUUAGAUUUGUCUAGAUACGGAUGUAGCAUGUCACAUUUUAGUAUUAGAUACAUCCGUAUCUAGACAAAUCUAAGACAAGAAAUUUGGGACAGUGGGAGUAGUUG